AUGCACCACUGCAGCUGGCCUGGCUCCACUAAAAUGGAGAAGAUCAAGCACAAGUUUGACAAGAUGCACGGCCUGCCAAACUGUUGUGGCGUUGUACAUACUGCUCGCAUCUCGUUUGGAUCAACAAACUGUGACGACGUGCAGAACGACAGUGAGCUAAUCCAAGCCGUCGUUGAUCCAGAUAUGAGGUUCCUAGACAUUUGGUGGAACUUGUCAGCUAGUAUGAACCAAUCGAGCCUUUUGCUCGACUCUGAGCUCCUUGAGAAGUGUGAGAAUGGUGCUUGGCUUAAUGGCAGUAUGCUGAGGCUAUCAGAUGGCCUGGAUGUCGGUGAAUACAUAAUUGGUGGUGCUGGAUACACACUUCGUCCGUGGCUCCUGACACCUUACCAGAUGGAAAACGGUGUCUCACUCUCAUCCUCCAAAGUAGAGUUCAAUAGGAGACAGUCUGCAGCUACAGCCAUUGCAGUAAGGGCGUUGGCAAGGAUGAAAGACACAUGGAAAUGCCUCCAGGGAAAAGGGUGGCAUCCAAAUAACAAACUUGAGAUGUACUGGACGAUCGGCACGUGUUGCGCGUUGCAUAACAUAGUGAUAGACAUGGAUGGGGAUCCGGAGGAAGGUGAGGAUGAGGAUCAGGAGGAGAGUUACACCGCGCAAGUGCGGCAACUAGCAGAUGAGGACGCCGUCAGGACGAGGGAUGCUCUGUCCCAUCACUUGAUUGAAUCUGGAGUCCACACAAUGGCUGUAGAGCAAGCUGCAGUAGUUGCAUCCAGUUCAGAAGAUAAAAGCAAGGAACAAGAAGUACACCGAGGAUUGGCAGCAGAUGGAGGAAAGGAGAGGAGAGCUAGCUAA
RNAcentral lists this ribosomal RNA (849 nucleotides) under Triticum aestivum (bread wheat). RNAcentral describes it as "partial small subunit ribosomal RNA". The record is from RNAcentral. Lineage: Eukaryota; Viridiplantae; Streptophyta; Magnoliopsida; Poales; Poaceae.